GGCUGCCGCCGUUCUGGCUGUGUCAGCCGACGCCGCGCUGGCUGAUGCCUCCCCGGCUUUUGUGGUCGCCGUACCUGCGCUGCUCUCCGCAGAUGCUGCGGAUGAGGCUGCCUGUGUGGCUGAUGCUUCUGCCGCUCCGGCUGCAUUCACUG
Molecule: unclassified non-coding RNA, 152 nt
Filed under: Salmonella enterica subsp. enterica serovar Paratyphi C
Lineage: Bacteria; Pseudomonadati; Pseudomonadota; Gammaproteobacteria; Enterobacterales; Enterobacteriaceae
Description: isrG
Source: RNAcentral